UAGCGCGUGCGCUUAACUUCGCGUUCACGGCGGAACUCGCACAGUCCGCCACUGACCAGGACCCGAAUCCACGUCAUCACUGCCGGACCCCACACUCUCAAAAUGUUUUUGAAAACCGAAAUGCACGACAAAUUCAUCCCAAAUGUCGUCCAAAACGAAAUCCAAAUUACAGAUCCCGCCUCGAGGAAACGUCUUUCCCUCCAUCAGACGCCCCCACAUGGCGCCACGUGCACUCACUUUUGCAUCGGAGCCGUCCGUGCCAGAUAGUACGGUCAGCUUCCCGGUCAGGAAGGAAACUGGAGGGAGCCGUCGGAUGGAGAGCGGACGGCUGAGAAGGUGCCCGAAACGUCCCCGGGUAGAUCUGGCCGCCUUUAAGAAGCGGCCCUAGGCCUCCUCUCGUUCCUCGCUCAGAUUAGGGUAAAAUCCCCAAACCCUAACCUCUACACAUUUCUGCGUCUCUCUCUCUCUCGUCCCGUCCCAAUCAUUGACGGCGCGUGGGAUCCAUUUGUGGCGCGUGGGGGUCACGCCCGAGCUGAUUCAUGGUGCCUGGUGCUCCGCCUGCAUUGAGAAUCCUUAGCCGGAGCUCAACUGGAACCCUAGACGGAGCUUUGAAUUCUGUACAGUUAUGGCGUCCGCCGUCUUAGCGAAUCGGAACGAACCCAAUUGGCCACAGCAGCCCAGAGGCGGCGGCGGAGGCGGAGG
Molecule: long non-coding RNA, 702 nt
Filed under: Rosa chinensis
Lineage: Eukaryota; Viridiplantae; Streptophyta; Magnoliopsida; Rosales; Rosaceae
Description: sRNA RchiOBHm_Chr6g0269461
Source: RNAcentral